RNAcentral lists this ribosomal RNA (191 nucleotides) under Staphylococcus aureus. RNAcentral's name for it is "partial 16S ribosomal RNA". It matches the Rfam family "Bacterial small subunit ribosomal RNA", at positions 1 to 186 of the family's 1533-position model. The record is from RNAcentral. Lineage: Bacteria; Bacillati; Bacillota; Bacilli; Caryophanales; Staphylococcaceae.
UUUAUGGAGAGUUUGAUCCUGGCUCAGGAUGAACGCUGGCGGCGUGCCUAAUACAUGCAAGUCGAGCGAACGGACGAGGAGCUUGCUUCUCUGAUGUUAGCGGCGGACGGGUGAGUAACACGUGGAUAACCUACCUAUAAGACUGGGAUAACUUCGGGAAACCGGAGCUAAUACCGGAUAAUAUUUUGAAC